AGAGUUUGAUCCUGGCUCAGGAUGAACGCUGGCGGCGUGCCUAACACAUGCAAGUCGAGCGAGAAGCCAUAAAAGGACACUUCGGUAGAAUUAUAUGGCGGAAAGCGGCGGACGGGUGAGUAACGCGUGGGAAACCUGCCUUUCACAGAGGGAUAGCCGAAGGAAACUACGAUUAAUACCUCAUAAAGCAAAAGCUUCGCAUGAAGCGAUUGCCAAAGAAUUAUCGGUGAAAGAUGGUCCCGCGUCUGAUUAGUUAGUUGGUAAGGUAGCGGCUUACCAAGGCGACGAUCAGUAGCCGGCCUGAGAGGGUGAACGGCCACAUUGGAACUGAGACACGGUCCAGACUCCUACGGGAGGCAGCAGUGGGGGAUAUUGCACAAUGGGCGAAAGCCUGAUGCAGCAACGCCGCGUGAAGGAAGAAGGCUUUCGAGUCGUAAACUUCUGUCCAAAGGGAAGAACAAAUGACGGUACCUUUGAAGAAAGCCCCGGCUAACUACGUGCCAGCAGCCGCGGUAAUACGUAGGGGGCGAGCGUUAUCCGGAAUUACUGGGCGUAAAGAGUAUGUAGGUGGUUUAGCAAGCGUAGGGUUUAAGGCGACAGCCCAACUGUCGUAUGCCCCGCGAACUGUUAAACUUGAGUACAGGAGGGGAAGGCGGAAUUCCUAGUGUAGCGGUGAAAUGCGUAGAUAUUAGGAGGAACACCGGUGGCGAAGGCGGCCUUCUGGACUGUAACUGACACUGAGAUACGAAAGCGUGGGUAGCAAACAGGAUUAGAUACCCUGGUAGUCCACGCCGUAAACGAUGAGCACUAGGUGUCGGGCUCGAAUGAGUUCGGUGCCGCAGCAAACGCAAUAAGUGCUCCGCCUGGGGAGUACGCACGCAAGUGUGAAACUCAAAGGAAUUGACGGGGACCCGCACAAGCAGCGGAGCAUGUGGUUUAAUUCGAAGCAACGCGAAGAACCUUACCAG
RNAcentral lists this ribosomal RNA (968 nucleotides) under uncultured Clostridia bacterium. Its description in RNAcentral is "bacterial SSU rRNA". It matches the Rfam family "Bacterial small subunit ribosomal RNA", at positions 8 to 977 of the family's 1533-position model. The record is from RNAcentral. Lineage: Bacteria; Bacillati; Bacillota; Clostridia.